This 1124-nucleotide long non-coding RNA is filed under the name Salmo salar (Atlantic salmon). RNAcentral describes it as "lncRNA (ENSSSAG00000098585.1)". The record is from RNAcentral. Lineage: Eukaryota; Metazoa; Chordata; Actinopteri; Salmoniformes; Salmonidae.
UGUAGUUGUAUAGUCUGUUAGUAACUCCACUCACUACUUGUAGUUGUAUAGUCUGUUAGUAACUCCACUCACUACUUGUAGCUGUAUAGUCUGUUAGUAACUCCACUCACUACUUGUAGUUGUAUAGUCUGUUAGUAACUCCGCUCACUACUUGUAGCAGUAUAGUCUGUUAGUAACUCCACUCACUACUUGUAGCUGUAUAGUCCGUUUGUAAAGUGUUUUUGUUCUUGGCUAGCUUAAGGUCUACUAUACCUGUUGUAUUCAGCAUUUCACUGUGAGGUCUACUAUACCUGUUGUAUUCAGCAUUUCACUGUAAGGUCUACUACACCUGUUGUAUUCAGCAUUUCACUGUGAGAUCUACUACACCAAAUGUAUUCAGCAUUUCACUGUGAGGUCUACACCUGUUGUAUUCAGCAUUUCACUGUGAGGUCUACUACACCUGUUGUAUUCAGCAUUUCACGGUGAGGUCUACUACACCUGUUGUAUUCAGCAUUUCACUGUGAGGUCUACACCUGUUGUAUUCAGCAUUUCACUGUGAGGUCUACUACACCUGUUGUAUUCAGCAUUUCACUGUGAGGUCUACUACACCUGUUAUAUUCAGCAUUUCACGGUAAGGUCUACUACACCUGUUGUAUUCAGCAUUUCACUGUAAGGUCUACUACACCUGUUGUAUUCAGCAUUACACUGUGAGGUCUACUACACCUGUUGUAUUCAGCAUUUCACUGUGAGGUCUACUACACCUGUUGUAUUCAGCAUUUCACUGUGAGGUCUACUACACCUGUUGUAUUCAGCAUUUCACGGUAACGUCUACUACACCUGUUGUAUUCGGCGCAUGUGACAAAUAAAAUGUGAUUUUGAUUUUAAUGUUCCGGUCAGUAGCUAGCUAGCACUCACUCACUCACGUGGCUGCAAGCACCGUCAUGAAAAGGGGCAUGAGGGAAGCCCUACAAUAUUAGCUUUUUUCUAAGCAUUUAGAAUGUUGAAAAGUGAUCUUCAGACAUGUUGCACUUUUCAUAAAUGUAGUUUUGUAAUUGACUAAAACGAACAAACAAUGAGAAUAUUGUGUUUAAAAAAGGCCAAAUAUUUGCUGUGAGCCAAUGGGGUAACCUAGGUGACCAAAUUUU